AAAAGAGAAGCAAAGCCGCGAGGUGGAGCAAAUCUCAAAAAAACAAUCUCAGUUCAGACUGCAGGCUGCAACUCGCCUGCACGAAGUCGGAAUUGCUAGUAAUCGUAGGUCAGCAUACUACGGUGAAUACGUUCCCGGGCCUUGUACACACCGCCCGUCAAACCAUGAGAGUUGGCAACACCCGAAGUCGGUAGUCUAACCGCAAGGAGGACGCCGCCGAAGGUGGGGUUGAUGAUUAGGGUUAAGUCGUAACAAGGUAUC
Molecule: ribosomal RNA, 261 nt
Filed under: uncultured bacterium
Lineage: Bacteria
Description: partial 16S ribosomal RNA
Rfam family: Bacterial small subunit ribosomal RNA
Source: RNAcentral